This 254-nucleotide ribosomal RNA is filed under the name uncultured bacterium. RNAcentral describes it as "partial 16S ribosomal RNA". It matches the Rfam family "Bacterial small subunit ribosomal RNA", at positions 524 to 776 of the family's 1533-position model. The record is from RNAcentral.
UACGGGGGGAGCAAGCGUUGUUCGGAUUUACUGGGCGUAAAGGGCGCGUAGGCGGCCACCGCAAGUCAGUUGUGAAAUCUCUGGGCUUAACCCAGAAAGGUCAACUGAUACUGCGGGGCUAGAGUGCAGAAGGGGCAACUGGAAUUCUCGGUGUAGCGGUGAAAUGCGUAGAUAUCGAGAGGAACACCUGCGGCGAAGGCGGGUUGCUGGGCUGACACUGACGCUGAGGCGCGAAAGCGUGGGGAGCGAACAGG